Molecule: ribosomal RNA, 709 nt
Filed under: uncultured beta proteobacterium
Lineage: Bacteria; Pseudomonadati; Pseudomonadota; Betaproteobacteria
Description: bacterial SSU rRNA
Rfam family: Bacterial small subunit ribosomal RNA
Source: RNAcentral
CCUUACACAUGCAAGUCGACCGGCAGCACGGACUUCGGUCUGGUGGCGAGUGGCGAACGGGUGAGUAAUAUAUCGGAACAUACCCAGUAGUGGGGGAUAACUAUCCGAAAGGAUAGCUAAUACCGCAUACGAUCUGUGGAUGAAAGCAGGGGAUCUUCGGACCUUGUGCUAUUGGAAUGGCCGAUAUCUGAUUAGCUAGUUGGUAGGGUAAAAGCCUACCAAGGCGACGAUCAGUAGCUGGUCUGAGAGGACGACCAGCCACACUGGAACUGAGACACGGUCCAGACUCCUACGGGAGGCAGCAGUGGGGAAUUUUGGACAAUGGGGGCAACCCUGAUCCAGCAAUGCCGCGUGAGUGAAGAAGGCCCUCGGGUUGUAAAGCUCUUUUGUCAGGGAAGAAACGGAGUUCUCUAAUAUAGGAUUCUAAUGACGGUACCUGAAGAAUAAGCACCGGCUAACUACGUGCCAGCAGCCGCGGUAAUACGUAGGGUGCAAGCGUUAAUCGGAAUUACUGGGCGUAAAGCGUGCGCAGGCGGUUUUGUAAGUCUGAUGUGAAAUCCCCGGGCUCAACCUGGGAACUGCAUUGGAGACUGCAAGGCUAGAGUGUGUCAGAGGGGGGUAGAAUUCCACGUGUAGCAGUGAAAUGCGUAGAGAUGUGGAGGAUACCGAUGGCGAAGGCAGCCCCCUGGGAUAACACUGACGCUCAUGC